RNAcentral lists this ribosomal RNA (301 nucleotides) under uncultured bacterium. Its description in RNAcentral is "partial 16S ribosomal RNA". It matches the Rfam family "Bacterial small subunit ribosomal RNA", at positions 510 to 808 of the family's 1533-position model. The record is from RNAcentral.
AGUAGCCGCGGUAAUACAGAGGGUGCGAGCGUUAAUCGGAUUUACUGGGCGUAAAGCGUGCGUAGGCGGCUUUUUAAGUCGGAUGUGAAAUCCCUGAGCUUAACUUAGGAAUUGCAUUCGAUACUGGGAAGCUAGAGUAUGGGAGAGGAUGGUAGAAUUCCAGGUGUAGCGGUGAAAUGCGUAGAGAUCUGGAGGAAUACCGAUGGCGAAGGCAGCCAUCUGGCCUAAUACUGACGCUGAGGUACGAAAGCAUGGGGAGCAAACAGGAUUAGAUACCCCUGUAGUCCCUGUCUCUUAUACC